GGCAGGUUACCCAAGUGGCCAAAGGGAGCUGACUGUAAAUCAGCCGCGCAAGCUUCGGGAGUUCGAAUCUCUCACCUGCCACCA
Molecule: transfer RNA, 84 nt
Filed under: Actinobacteria bacterium 69-20
Lineage: Bacteria; Bacillati; Actinomycetota; Actinomycetes
Also listed under: 1 other name
Description: tRNA-Tyr
Rfam family: tRNA
About the family: Transfer RNA (tRNA) molecules are approximately 80 nucleotides in length. Their secondary structure includes four short double-helical elements and three loops (D, anti-codon, and T loops).
Source: RNAcentral